RNAcentral lists this ribosomal RNA (372 nucleotides) under uncultured bacterium. Its description in RNAcentral is "bacterial SSU rRNA". It matches the Rfam family "Bacterial small subunit ribosomal RNA", at positions 28 to 404 of the family's 1533-position model. The record is from RNAcentral.
GACGAACGCUGGCGGCGUGCUUAACACAUGCAAGUCGAGCGGUAAGGCCCUUUCGGGGUACACGAGCGGCGAACGGGUGAGUAACACGUGGGUGACCUGCCCUCAGCUCUGGGAUAAGCCUGGGAAACUGGGUCUAAUACUGGAUAUGACUCCACGGUGCAUGUCGUGGGGUGGAAAGCCUUGUGCGGCUGAGGAUGGGCCCGCGGCCUAUCAGCUUGUUGGUGGGGUGAGGCCUACCAAGGCGACGACGGGUAGCCGGCCUGAGGGGCGACCGGCCACACUGGGACUGAGACACGGCCCAGACUCCUACGGGAGGCAGCAGUGGGGAAUCUUGCGCAAUGGGCGAAAGCCUGACGCAGCGACGCCGCGUGA